Molecule: transfer RNA, 67 nt
Filed under: Macromia daimoji
Lineage: Eukaryota; Metazoa; Arthropoda; Insecta; Odonata; Macromiidae
Description: tRNA-Leu
Rfam family: tRNA
About the family: Transfer RNA (tRNA) molecules are approximately 80 nucleotides in length. Their secondary structure includes four short double-helical elements and three loops (D, anti-codon, and T loops).
Source: RNAcentral
AUUACUUUGGCAGAAAAGUGUUAUAGAUUUAGGAUCUAUAUAUGCAAGUCUAAUCUUGCAGGUAAUA